RNAcentral lists this unclassified non-coding RNA (227 nucleotides) under Glomus sp. Its description in RNAcentral is "partial contains 5.8S ribosomal RNA and internal transcribed spacer 2". The stretch from base 1 to 71 matches the Rfam family "5.8S ribosomal RNA", at positions 84 to 154 of the family's 154-position model. Lineage: Eukaryota; Fungi; Glomeromycota; Glomeromycetes; Glomerales; Glomeraceae. The record is from RNAcentral.
GUGAAUCAUCGAAUCUUUGAACGCAAAUUGCACUCUCUGGUAUUCCGGUGAGUAUGCCUGUUUGAGGGUCAGAUUAAAUAAAAAUCGGUGUGGUUGCUGCCUUUCGUGGUGACGCACCGGAUGUGGGUCGUCUUGCCUUUGGUUAAGUGACCUAAAAUUUCGCAUGAUUUUUUCGAACGUUUCUAAGUGAUUUUACGUACGUUUGCGAUAGCGUCUACUAUGUUCGG